Molecule: non-coding RNA, 1140 nt
Organism: Oryzias melastigma (Indian medaka)
Lineage: Eukaryota; Metazoa; Chordata; Actinopteri; Beloniformes; Adrianichthyidae
Source: the annotation of a RefSeq genome assembly
UCUCUGCUGGAUCCAUGUGUGAGAAUCCUGAUGACAGAGAUCCAUGUUCCUGUUGGAGUCAGUGGUUGCAUUUCCAUAGAAACACUUUGCAUCAGCAGCUCCAUGCUCCAGUGCUCUGGGAGACUUUAUAGUCCUGAGAGUUGAAGACUGGAUGACUGACAGCUGUCCUUCAUCACAGCAGAAGACACACAAAUCCUCCUCCUCCUCAUCACUAAAAGCAUGACUUUGAUCUGCGUCCUCAUCUGGACUCUCCUCUGCUUCAUUCAGGGUUCUGUUGGACAAAAUGUUGUUGUGACUCAGCCAGCAGCUAAAUCAGUGCAGCUCGGUCAAACCGUCUCUAUUGACUGUAAGGCCAGUCAACAAGUACGUCGGGUUGGUUCUCAAUUCUAUCUUUCCUGGUACCACCAGAAAUCUGGAGAAGCUCCUAAAACUCUGAUCAAAUUAACAGUAAGCAGAUUUUCAGGAAUCUCCUCCAGAUUCAGUGGAACAGGAAAUGGAAUUGACUUCACUCUGACCAUCAGUGGAGUCCAGGCUGAAGAUUCAGGAGUUUAUUACUGUCAGAGUUAUCACGUUAUCAACAGUCAGUAUGUGUUCACACAGUGAAAAGUCAUCGUACAAAAACCUCCUUCAUCAGAAUGAACUGAAACUCAUUUGAAUGUUUCUGCCUCAAGUUCUUCCAGAAACUGAAACUCUGAUUUACUGUAGAAACACUAAACACAUGAAGAUAAAUACAAUUCAAAGAAAACUAUGACAGUAAAAUUCAUUUUUAGUUCAUAUGAUUUUCCCAAAAAAAAAAAAUCUUAUUUGAACUUUUUCCCCUGAAACUCUCAUUCUCUUUUCUUCCAGUUGAUGAAACUUUUCAUCAAAGUCCUAAAGUUUCUUUACAAACUUCUCACCAAUCUUCACUCUGAUCAAUGAAGUCACUUGGAUUCACAGUAAAACGUUCCAGAGAAAGAAGACUUUAAGUCCAGAUCCCACAAGUCAACUUCAAGAAUCGUCUUCUGGUCAAAAACAUCUUCAGUGACACAUUUGAUUCAAUCCUUCUGACUGUAGAUAAAAGAAACUCGUCCUCAAAAAUAUGAUCAUGUGACCAGAUAGACCGACCACAUCGUACAAAGACAUGUUUCAGUGAAAGACCAG